RNAcentral lists this ribosomal RNA (109 nucleotides) under Castor canadensis (American beaver). The record is from RNAcentral. Lineage: Eukaryota; Metazoa; Chordata; Mammalia; Rodentia; Castoridae.
GUCUACAGCCAUACCACCCUGAAGGCGCCCAAUCUCAUCUGAUCUCAAAAGCUAAGCAGGUGCGGGCCUGAUUAGUACUUGAAUGGGAGACAGAUCUUCAGAAGAGACU